UACGUAGGGGGCAAGCGUUGUCCGGAAUCAUUGGGCGUAAAGCGCGUGUAGGCGGUCCGGUAAGUCCGCUGUAAAACUCGGGGCUCAACCCCGAGCCUGCUUCCGAUACGGGCAGACUAGAGGUAUGCAGGGGAGAAUGGAAUUCCUGGUGUAGCGGUGAAAUGCGCAGAUAUCAGGAGGAACACCGGUGGCGAAGGCGGUUCUCUGGGCAUUACCUGACGCUGAGGAGCGAAAGUGUGGGGAGCGAACAGG
This 252-nucleotide ribosomal RNA is filed under the name uncultured bacterium. RNAcentral describes it as "partial 16S ribosomal RNA". It matches the Rfam family "Bacterial small subunit ribosomal RNA", at positions 524 to 776 of the family's 1533-position model. The record is from RNAcentral.